GAUGAACGCUAGCUACAGGCUUAACACAUGCAAGUCGAGGGGAAACGGCAUUAAGUGCUUGCACUUUUUGGACGUCGACCGGCGCACGGGUGAGUAACGCGUAUCCAACCUUCCCAUGACUAAGGGAUAACCUGCCGAAAGGCAGACUAAUACCUUAUGGUCUUCACUGACGGCAUCAGAUGUGAAGUAAAGAUUUAUCGGUUAUGGAUGGGGAUGCGUCUGAUUAGCUUGUUGGCGGGGUAACGGCCCACCAAGGCAACGAUCAGUAGGGGCUCUGAGAGGAAGGUCCCCCACAUUGGAACUGAGACACGGUCCAAACUCCUACGGGAGGCAGCAGUGAGGAAUAUUGGUCAACGGGCGAGAGCCUGAACCAGCCAAGUAGCGUGCAGGAUGACGGCCCUAUGGGUUGUAAACUGCUUUUGUAUGGGGAUAAAGUCAGUCACGUGUGAUUGUUUGCAG
RNAcentral lists this ribosomal RNA (459 nucleotides) under Prevotella sp. oral taxon 298. Its description in RNAcentral is "bacterial SSU rRNA". It matches the Rfam family "Bacterial small subunit ribosomal RNA", at positions 28 to 474 of the family's 1533-position model. Lineage: Bacteria; Pseudomonadati; Bacteroidota; Bacteroidia; Bacteroidales; Prevotellaceae. The record is from RNAcentral.